This is a long non-coding RNA of Xenopus laevis (African clawed frog), 439 nucleotides long. RefSeq lists it as uncharacterized. The transcript is spliced from 3 exons. The record is from RefSeq and is a predicted model, not a curated record. Lineage: Eukaryota; Metazoa; Chordata; Amphibia; Anura; Pipidae.
CUGCUCAUUUAACUUUUUAAUCUUUCUCCACAGCCUUGCAAGAAUGUAAGAGUAAAUUUGGCUCUUUUUAUGACAAAGUGCUGUUGAGCUGUGUGCCUUGCGAGGACAUCUGUGGACAGCACCCUAGUCAAUGCAAUGACCACUGCCAGGCAAAAAGCUGGGCUCAUCCUGGAAAAGACAAAAUGCAGAUGCCGUUCAACCACAUGUUAUUGAUUUACUUCGGGGUGGCUAUCGUCAUCAUCACAGUUAUUGGCAUUAUCAUUUUUAUCUUGUGGCGAAUCAUGAGAAAGCCAGAACAACCAUUACCUUGUAAACCAUCCACAAAGGGGAGAAAUAAAGGCAGCUUACCCAAAGAUCAUAUAAUAGAGAGUAGACUUGCAAUAGAGACCCCUCCAGAAACAGAAAGCUCACAGCCUGCAGAAACAUGCGGAUUCUGCUU